RNAcentral lists this transfer RNA (58 nucleotides) under Rachelia extrusa (blue flash skipper). RNAcentral's name for it is "tRNA-Thr". Lineage: Eukaryota; Metazoa; Arthropoda; Insecta; Lepidoptera; Hesperiidae. The record is from RNAcentral.
GUUUUUAUAGUUUAAAAUAAAACAUUGGUUUUGUAAAUCAAUAAUAAUAAUUAUAUUU